Molecule: ribosomal RNA, 229 nt
Filed under: uncultured bacterium
Lineage: Bacteria
Description: partial 16S ribosomal RNA
Rfam family: Bacterial small subunit ribosomal RNA
Source: RNAcentral
UGCGUAGGCGGUACGAUAAGUCAGAUGUGAAAACCAAGGGCUCAACCUUUGGACUGCAUUUGAAACUAUCGAACUAGAGUAUGGGAGAGGAAAGUGGAAUUCCUAGUGUAGCGGUGAAAUGCGUAGAUAUUAGGAGGAACACCAGUAGCGAAGGCGACUUUCUGGAACAUAACUGACGCUGAGGCACGAAAGCGUGGGGAGCAAACAGGAUUAGAUACCCUGGUAGUCC